Helianthus annuus (common sunflower) is the source of this 107-nucleotide non-coding RNA. The record is from Rfam. Lineage: Eukaryota; Viridiplantae; Streptophyta; Magnoliopsida; Asterales; Asteraceae.
GGAUAAUGAUGACAAUGUGUGAUAAGGUCUCGUUCGUCGUAAUGGUGAGAAUUAAUGUUUUAACCUUGACGACCAUUCUGUUAUAUCACCACCCAUAAACUGAGUCC